Molecule: ribosomal RNA, 468 nt
Filed under: uncultured bacterium
Lineage: Bacteria
Description: partial 16S ribosomal RNA
Rfam family: Bacterial small subunit ribosomal RNA
Source: RNAcentral
GACGAACGCUGGCGGCGUGCUUAACACAUGCAAGUCGAACGGAAAGGCCCUGCCUUUGUGGGGUGCUCGAGUGGCGAACGGGUGAGCUACACGUGAGUAACCUGCCCCUGACUGUGGGAUAACUUCAGAAAACUGGGGCUAAUACCGCAUAGGAGCUCUUGCUGCAUGGUGGGGGUGGGAAAGUUUAGGCGGUUGGGGAUGGACUCGCGGCUUAUCGGCUUGUUGGUGGGGUAGUGGCUUACCAAGGUCUUGACAGGUAGCCGGCCUGGGAGGGUGACCGGCCACAUUAGAACUGGGAUACGGCCCAGACUCCAACGGGAGGCAGCGGUGGGGAGUAUUACACAAUGGGCGGAGGCCUGAUGCGGCAACGCCGCGUGGGGGAAGAGGGGCUGCGGGUUGUGAACCGCUUUCGCCUGAGACGAGGCGUGAAUGACGGUAAUGGGUGAAGAAGCACCGGCUAACUACGUG